Molecule: ribosomal RNA, 685 nt
Filed under: uncultured bacterium
Lineage: Bacteria
Description: bacterial SSU rRNA
Rfam family: Bacterial small subunit ribosomal RNA
Source: RNAcentral
GAAAUGAUAGCUAAUACCGGAUUAAAUAUAGAUUCGUUUCUAUAUUAAAAGGAGCCUUUAAAGCUUCGCUUAAAGAUGGGCCUGCGGCGUAUUAGCUAGUUGGUGAGGUAAUGGCUUACCAAGGCGACGAUGCGUAGCCGAACUGAGAGGCUGAUCGGCCACAUUGGGACUGAGACACGGCCCAAACUCCUACGGGAGACAGCAGUUAGGAAUAUUCGUCAAUGGGGGAAACCCUGAACGAGCAAUGCCGCGUGAACGAUGAAGGCCCUAUGGGUUGUAAAGUUCUGUUGCAUGGGACGAACGGCUAGGAUAGGAAAUGAUCUUAGUGUGACGGUACCAUGCCAGAAAGCUCCGGCUAACUACGUGCCAGCAGCCGCGGUAAUACGUAGGGAGCGAGCGUUAUCCGGAUUUAUUGGGCGUAAAGGGUGCGUAGGCGGUUUGUUAAGUAUGAGAUUAAAGCCUGAGGCUUAACCUCAGUUCGUUUCAUAAACUGGCAGACUUGAGUAUGGCAGAGGUAAACGGAAUUUCUAGUGUAGCGGUUAAAUGCGUAGAUAUUAGAAGGAACACCAGUGGCGAAGGCGGUUUACUGGGCCAUAACUGACGCUGAGGCACGAAAGCGUGGGGAGCAAAUAGGAUUAGAUACCCUAGUAGUCCACGCCGUAAACGAUGAGUACUAAGUGUUGGG